GGCKGCMAUUAGCCUAGGUUGUGGAGGUACCGCCUCACCCCAGGGCGACCGAUGCCGUAGCCGACCCUGAGGAGGGGGUGAUCGGCCCACACYUGGACUGAGACACGGCCCCAGACUCCCUACCGGGAGGCAGCAGUAGGGAAUCYUYCCGCAAUGGACGAAAGUCUGACGGAGCAACGCCGCGUGAGUGAUGAAGGUUUUCGGAUCGUAAAGCUCUGUUGUUAGGGAAGAACAAGUGCCGUUCAAAUAGGGCGGCACCUUGACGGUACCUAACCAGAAAGCCACGGCUAACUACGUGCCAGCAGCCGCGGUAAUACGUAGGUGGCAAGCGUUGUCCGGAAUUAUUGGGCGUAAAGGGCUCGCAGGCGGUUUCUUAAGUCUGAUGUGAAAGCCCCCGGCUCAACCGGGGAGGGUCAUUGGAAACUGGGGAACUUGAGUGCAGAAGAGGAGAGUGGAAUUCCACGUGUAGCGGUGAAAUGCGUAGAGAUGUGGAGGAACACCAGUGGCGAAGGCGACUYUYUGGUCUGUAACUGACGCUGAGGAGCGAAAGCGUGGGGAGCGAACAGGAUUAGAUACCCUGGUAGUCCACGCCGUAAACGAUGAGUGCUAAGUGUUAGGGGGUUUCCGCCCCUUAGUGCUGCAGCUAACGCAUUAAGCACUCCGCCUGGGGAGUACGGUCGCAAGACUGAAACUCAAAGGAAUUGACGGGGGCCCGCACAAGCGGUGGAGCAUGUGGUUUAAUUCGAAGCAACGCGAAGAACCUUACCAGGUCUUGACAUCCUCUGACAAUCCUAGAGAUAGGAMGUCCCCUUCGGGGGCAGAGUGACAGGUGGUGCAUGGUUGUCGUCAGCUCGUGUCGUGAGAUGUUGGGUUAAGUCCCGCAACGAGCGCAACCCUUGAUCUUAGUUGCCAGCAUUCAGUUGGGCACUCUAAGGUGACUGCCGGUGACAAACCGGAGGAAGGKGGGGAUGACGUCAAAUCAUCAUGCCCCUUAUGACCUGGGCUACACACGUGCUACAAUGGACAGAACAAAGGSYAGSGAAACCGCGAGGUUAAGCCAAUCCCACAAAUCUGUUYCCUGUUCGAUCGCAGUCUGCAACUCGACUGCGUGAAGCUGGAAUCGCUAGUAAUCGCGG
This 1136-nucleotide ribosomal RNA is filed under the name Bacillus sp. (in: firmicutes). Its description in RNAcentral is "bacterial SSU rRNA". Lineage: Bacteria; Bacillati; Bacillota; Bacilli; Caryophanales; Bacillaceae. The record is from RNAcentral.